CCAGACUCCUACGGGAGGCAGCAGUGAGGAAUCUUCCACAAUGGGCGAAAGCCUGAUGGAGCAACGCCGCGUGAAGGAUGAAGGCCUUCGGGUUGUAAACUUCUUUUAUGAGUGAAGAAUAUGACGGUAACUCAUGAAUAAGCACCGGCUAACUACGUGCCAGCAGCCGCGGUCAUACGUAGGGUGCGAGCAUUAUCCGGAGUGACUGGGCGUAAAGAGUUGCGUAGGCGGUAAGUCAAGUGAAUAGUGAAACCUGGUGGCUCAACCAUACAGACUAUUAUUCAAACUGGCUUACUCGAGAGUGGUAGAGGUCACUGGAAUUUCUUGUGUAGGAGUGAAAUCCGUAGAUAUAAGAAGGAACACCGAUGGCGUAGGCAGGUGACUGGACCAUUUCUGACGCUAAGGCACGAAAGCGUGGGGAGCGAACCGGAUUAGAUACCCGGGUAGUCCACGCCGUAAACGAUGGAUACUAGCUGUUGGAGGUAUCGACCCCUUCAGUAGCGAAGCUAACGCGUUAAGUAUCCCGCCUGUGGAGUACGGCCGCAAGGCUAAAACAUAAAGGAAUUGACGGGGGCCCCGCACAAG
RNAcentral lists this ribosomal RNA (585 nucleotides) under uncultured bacterium. Its description in RNAcentral is "bacterial SSU rRNA". It matches the Rfam family "Bacterial small subunit ribosomal RNA", at positions 331 to 929 of the family's 1533-position model. The record is from RNAcentral.